This is a long non-coding RNA of Acinonyx jubatus (cheetah), 5242 nucleotides long. RefSeq lists it as uncharacterized. Lineage: Eukaryota; Metazoa; Chordata; Mammalia; Carnivora; Felidae. The record is from RefSeq and is a predicted model, not a curated record. The transcript has 3 exons.
CACCGGGAACAAUUGUGGUUCCUGCCUCAUAGAGUUUUGUGCAGAAGAAAUGGGAUUAUCCAGCUACAGUUGUUUAACACACUAUCUGGCACAUAGUAAGUGCUCAGUAAAUGUUCACUUAAAACAGUCACACCCAUCACAAUAAUGACCUUUAUCUGUUAGCGUACUAGUCUUUUCACUAGACCUAAGGUUUCUGGAAAUCAGAGAUCACUUCCUUAAUUUUGCCACAAUUGCCCCUUCUACUUGUGCCCAUUUGUGGAGGUCUUAGUACAGUUCCCUGUGCGGGGAGCUUUUUGUCUGUCACCCCAAUGAACCUUUACAACAACCUACGAGGUAAGUAUUAGGAUCCCAUGCUGUGGUUUAAAAAACCAAGGCUCAGAGAGGUAGAAACCCUGUCCCACAUCCCCCAGCUGAUUCACGGAAGAGCCAGGAUUCUGACUCCCUGUGUGAGCCCUCAUCACGCACCCCUGCCUCUCACUGCAUGGCCGGUACUGACACAGUCAGUUCAGUGAACAUCUGAUGAAUAGAAUUCACUCUGAUAAACCCAGAACCUACCCACGUCUGUCAGAAAGGGACGUGGGUUUACGUGUGCUGCCCGAGUUCUGAACGUGGCCCUCACAGGCCAAGCAAUCAGAGGCUCAGACCCUUGUGGCGAAACAGACAGCAUCUAGAGCAGGCGACUUGGCUCUCAGCCUUUCCCUCUUGGGAAACAGGCAUAUUUCAUCAUUGAUAAUUUGUACUUUGUGACUGCAAGUUGUGCUAACUUGACACAAUGCUGCCUUUCCAGAGGAACAGGUUGUCACUUUUCAUGAAAUUUGUCCUAUUUAAUGACACUUUUUGUUUGGUGUCUAAUUACCUCCCAUCUCUUCUAUUGCUCUGUUAUAGUCCCAAGCUUUUAAAAAUGUUGUGCCAAGAGUCUCGGAAAGAUCCUUUUCAAGCAGAUUCUGGAAGCUUGGCCUCUCCAGCUCAGUUGUAAUUGUCUCGAGAGCAGGGAGCACGUCCUAUCUGUCUCUAUCUCCCAUAGCACCUGGCUUGGUGCAUGCCGGGCAUUCAAUAAGUAUUUGCCAGAUUCAUGAUCUGUGUACUUAUUUCAUGCUGGAUACUGGACAAGGUCUCGGGAGGCAGCAAGAAGGAAUCAGGUUCAGCUCUUGUCCUCCUCCAGUCCCACGCAGGAGGUAAAUCUCAAACAUAAACAGCAAACAUCCGAUGUGCAAAGUGGUGUUUGUGGUGCGGAAUGUAGCAGAACUACCCUGGCAUAUACCCCCUUCCCAGAGCAUCACUUGUACGCAAAGAUUGCUGGGAAAUUCUUUGAUAUCAAAAAAAGCAGGGGCAUAAUACAAAGUACACUGUAACACAUGUAAGCAUGUUAAGGUAAAACAUAGGUUUCGAGGUGCUCUGUCCUCCCAUCUUCCUUCCGGGGGGGUAUCUCCCCUCCCCUCUCGCCUUCAGGAGUAUUUUGUUAGGUGAUCAUGGUGAACAUUGCCAUUGCAUCAAUAAGUUUCCAAUCAGGCUCUGCUCCAUCACUUUCUAGACUUUGAGCAAGUAACCUGAGCUCUCUGAACCUCAGUUUAUUCAUGAUUUUCUAAAAUGAGGCUUAGUGUUUUAUAUAAAGCUUUUGUUACAUACACAGUAGCUUUUGUGAAUGUUGUGAGGAAGUGAAUACUUAUUGGAUGGAUGGAUGGACAGAUAAACAGAGUAGGGAGCGAGCCAGUCUGUUGCCACAUAACAAAAAAAAGGCACAUAUUUUCUUUCUCGUUAAUACUAUACGAUUCGACAGCAUUUUGUACCCUUGAAGAACCUUCAUAUUCACACAAAAUCAGAGAAAGUAGAGCGGUCCCAAGUCUACCAAGGGGAACUACUGAGGCCUCAAGAAACACCCAGAGUCUUACAAAACAUGAGACUGGCCAACUUGAGAUCUGAGCCAGUGCCUGGUUCAGCACCUUUCAUAUAGUAGCUGGGGGACCUGGUAAGUGCUCGGAGUGGGGGGAAGGGGUCAUGCCUCUCAUCCCUGAUCUGUGUACAGCCUGUUCACUUGAGCUGUGUGUUGUGAGUCCCAGGAUCGCAGAGCCCUCCCAGCCGGGGCAGUGGAGAAGUUCUCUACUUUCCCUCCUCAGAAGCUGAUAGAAGCAAUGGGCUCUACUCUCCUUAAGAACAUACAGACACACAGACGUUCACGUGCAGUUUCAGGAAGCUCAUGGGCACCCCAAAGCCCCUCCACCAUGCCCCCCGCCCCCCAGUCAGUGCUCAAGACCUUUCUACAGCCAACCUCUUGAGGCCAGACAACCGCAGAAGUCGCAAACUCAUUACCUCCAGGCCAGCUAGUAGAAACAGUAUAACUCAAUACAACAAACCUUGGUGACUUCAGCCAGGGUCCACUUACCCUUCCAUCUCUACACCAUCUGAAUUCUCAAAAGUUUAUCUUCCAGUAAAAUCCAAAGCCAAACCAUUCACUGUCCUCCCAGACUUUCGCAAGUGUUGGCAGAGAUAAGAAUUGAGGUUAUGUGUGUUUUAGAGAUCAAAAUUGCCAGUGUGUUAAUGGAAUGGGGUGGGGACUGUGAACAGGAUAAUACCUAGGUUGCCUGGAAUCGAUUGGCCUCACCACAGGCAAUGCCUUCAUUGUUAUGAAAGCCAUGAUCAACCCUAAAAGAUAAAGAACCAGACUCACAGCUGAGAGAAACUCGGUCAGGCCAUCCAGGUCGUAUGUUCACUCAACACUCAGGUACUGAACACCUGCGUGUGCCUAAUACAGUUCUAGACCCCUAGGAGAUGUGUGAGGCUACAACAGAAGAGUCCAUGGGGCGCUUGGCUGGCUCAGUUGGUUAAGCAUCUGACUCUCGAUUUUGGCCCUGGUCAUGAUCUCAAGGUUCGUGAAUUCGAUCCCCACAUUGGGCUCUGCUUGGGAUUCUCUCUCUCUCUCCCUCGCUCUCUGCCCCUCCCCAGCUCGCACUCAUGCUCACACACACACUCUCUCUAAAUAAAUAAAUAAACUUAAAAAGAAAAACAAGGGUCGCCUGGGUGGCUCAGUUGGUUAAACAUCCGACUUCGGCUCAGGUCGUGAUCUCACAGUUCGUGAGCUCAAGCCCCGCACUGGGCUCUUUGCUGACAGCUCAGAAACUGGAGCCUGCUUCAGAUUCUGUGUCUCCCUCUCUCUCUGCCCCUACCCCACUUGUGCUCUGUCUUUCUCUCUCUCAAAAAUAAGUAGACAUUACAAAAAUAUAAACAAACAAAAACCCCAAAAAGUCCUUGCCCUGAAGUAAUCCUUGAGCUUACAUUCCAGUGAGGAGGAUGGACAAAUACCAAUAACCCUAGUAAACACAUAAAUUUUACAGUAUGCUAGAAGGCCAAACGUGCUUCAGGGAAAACUACGUUAAACCAUGUGAUAAAGGGAUGACAAGUGUGUGUGAUGGAGGAGUUAACUGGCAGUUAACUUGGGGCCAGGAAAGCCACACUGAAGGUGAAAUGUGAGUAGGACCUGAAGGCAAGGAGGCCAGAUGUGCUGCUGUGGUCAUUCCUGAAAGGACCCAGCCGAGGUGAUGCCGAUGGCACCACUGAGCGUCUGAUGUUCACGUGGCCGGGAUUUACUGAGUGCGUUAUGAGCCAGGUGCUUGGGGUGGGCUGGAUAAUGGUCCCCAAAGAUAUCCAGGUCCUAAUGCCUGGAACCUGUGAAUGUCACCUAGAUGGCAAAGGGACUUGGCAGAUGUCAUGAAGUUAAGGAUUUUAGAUAGCAAGGGUAUCCUGAGUUAUCUGCUGCAGUGUCAUCAUAUGGGUCCUUAUAAGAGGGAGGUACAGGGAGACUUUGACUACAGAAGGAGGAAAGCAGUGGGAUGCUAAACCAGGGGGACAAAAGCGUGAGUCCCCGAGCCAGGGGAUGAGGAAGCUGAAAGAGGCAAGGAAACAGACUCUCCCCUGCAGCUUCCAGAGGGGAGCUGUCCUUCUGCGUGUUGAUUUUAUUCCUGUAAGACUCAUUUUGGACUUCCGACCUCCAGAACUGUAGGAAUAAGUCUGCAUUGUUUUACACCACCAGGUCUGUGGUGAUAUGUUCCAGCAGCCAUAGAAAACAGUGCUAUUUCCGACAAGGAUAUGGUGAUGAACCAAACCGAUGAAAAUGCCUGCCACGCGGACCACUGCCAUUCUGUGCCAGCAGGAGAAGGUCUUGCCCAGAGAGAGGAGGAACAUCCUUCAUUCAAGGGUUUAUGAGUGGCAUCCUCUGCCUGAAUGGCCUGCAUCAGCUCAGCUAAUUCAGAUUGUGGUGACUAAGUGGCAGGCACUUCUUCUGAGGACUUUAAGAACCUGGAUUUAUUUCAUCCUCACGGUACCCUUAUGAGGUACAUACGUUCUGUUCUUCUCCUCAUGUCACAGAUGAGGAAACAGAGGCACAGAGAAGUUAAAUAACUUAACAAAGGUCCCGAGACUUAUCAGGAGCCAAGAUUCAACCUCUCGACUGUUUUAAGGCUCAUUAAUACAAUGGCUACAGUUUAUUGAGCAGCUACUAUGUGUCUGGCACUCUUCAUGUACGUGUCACAACAACCCUUUGAAUGAGGCACUGUACUAAGCCCCGAAGGUGGAGAAGUGAAUAAGAUUCAGGCAAUAAAAGUAGUGGUCAAGAAGUCGGACUUCGGAGUCUCCGGAACCAUCUGGGUGAUCUUAGGCAAGUCACUUAACUCUUCUGAGACUCAGUUUUCUCAUUCAUAAAAUGGGAAUGGUACCAGGAUCUACCUCCGGGGCAUUAUGAGGAUUAUAUGAGACCCAGCACACGCAGUGCUUAGGCUCAGUGCUUGGCACAGCAUGAGUUGUCAGUACGUGUCAGCUGUUGUUAUACAGUUGUUGCUGUAAUAAGAAAGCUCAGUUCCUGCCCUUACCGGAGAAGACCCAUGAGUGAUGUAGCCAUCACUGUUCCUCCCAUGUUCAUUCCGACGGUAAUUUAACAAACUUUGAACUAGGCUAAGUCUCUAGCUUGCUCAACCCAUUGGCAGACUGAAGACAAAAUGAGGGAACUCCUGCUUCUCACUAGCUUCAAAGCCGCCCACCAUCUCUUUUUCCUCCUGGGAUGGGCUAGGACCUCUAGGAAGACCAGUCACCCUCCGCCCUCCUGGAACACAGUGGAUGUACUUAAAGAAAGAAAAUACCGGAAAAUCCCACCAGAGCAUAUGACUGUGAAUUGAACACACAUAUGCUAGACUUACCUGGAAGUUUGCCAAGACCCAGUGAUGAAGAUGGAGGGAGGAUAUUAAGCCUCCAACAC